This 276-nucleotide ribosomal RNA is filed under the name Triticum aestivum (bread wheat). RNAcentral describes it as "partial small subunit ribosomal RNA". Lineage: Eukaryota; Viridiplantae; Streptophyta; Magnoliopsida; Poales; Poaceae. The record is from RNAcentral.
AUGUGUGUGCCAAAAGACCAAGGAGGAAUGGGUGUUCGAGACAUACAUUGUUUUAAUCUAGCCUUGUUAGCCAAACAAGCGUGGCGCCUGCUUGAUAAUCCUGAUUCCCUAUGUGCCAUCAUUUUGAGAGCUAAAUAUUUUCCGGAUGGAGAUUUAAUGAAUGCGAGUCUGAAAAAAGGAUCCUCUUUCACUUGGCAAAGCAUUAUGGCCGGAGUGGAUUCUCUCAAAAAAGGUUAUAUUUGGAGAGUUGGUAAUGGACAGAAUAUUGAUAUUUGA